Molecule: ribosomal RNA, 389 nt
Filed under: uncultured bacterium
Lineage: Bacteria
Description: bacterial SSU rRNA
Rfam family: Bacterial small subunit ribosomal RNA
Source: RNAcentral
AACGAACGCUGGCGGCAGGCUUAACACAUGCAAGUCGAGCGAGAACUUCGGUUCUAGCGGCGGACGGGUGAGUAACACGUGGGAACAUGCCUAUCUCUACGGAAUAGUCCCGGGAAACUGGGUUUAAUACCGUAUACGCCCUUCGGGGAAAGAAUUUCGGAGAUAGAUUGGCCCGCGCUUGAUUAGGUAGUUGGUGGGGUAAUGGCCUACCAAGCCUACGAUCAAUAGCUGGUUUGAGAGGAUGAUCAGCCACACUGGGACUGAGACACGGCCCAGACUCCUACGGGAGGCAGCAGUGAGGAAUAUUGGACAAUGGGGGCAACCCUGAUCCAGCCAUGCCGCGUGAGUGAUGAAGGCCUUAGGGUCGUAAAGCUCUUUCGCUAGGGAAG